This 85-nucleotide transfer RNA is filed under the name Felis catus (domestic cat). It matches the Rfam family "tRNA". Rfam says of the family: Transfer RNA (tRNA) molecules are approximately 80 nucleotides in length. The record is from Rfam by way of RNAcentral. Lineage: Eukaryota; Metazoa; Chordata; Mammalia; Carnivora; Felidae.
GCCUGGGUGGCUCAGUCAUUUGAGUGUCUGACUUCAGCUCAGGUCAUGAUCUCACGGUUCGUGAGUUCAAGCCCCACAUCAGGCU